Molecule: long non-coding RNA, 296 nt
Filed under: Medicago truncatula (barrel medic)
Lineage: Eukaryota; Viridiplantae; Streptophyta; Magnoliopsida; Fabales; Fabaceae
Description: long non-coding RNA (MTRU_LNC004800)
Source: RNAcentral
CAAGAUCAAGGAGUAUCAUGUUUAAACACCAAGGGUUUGUUUAGGGAAUUUUAGUAAAUUUGUCUUUUGAAUGUAAAUAGAAGGAAUGUUCCCUUAUGCUUGGCCAUUUGAAUUCAAUUGCCCCACAAAUGUCAAUUCUUUUGUAGCCUAGCCAAGUUACAACCCUCAAAGACCUUUUGAUCCAUGUUUUUAUGCUUUUUGAAAUGAUAAUUGGAUGGACAUAUAACUUGAUUUGGAUGUUAACUUGAUUGCCGGAUGUGUGUUCAUAACCCUCACUCAUUUGAUUUCAAUUGCAU